Long non-coding RNA from Diorhabda carinulata, 268 nucleotides. RefSeq lists it as uncharacterized. NCBI's taxonomy places the organism in Eukaryota, Metazoa, Arthropoda, Insecta, Coleoptera, Chrysomelidae. The transcript has 3 exons. The record is from RefSeq and is a predicted model, not a curated record.
CGAGAAAGUACAGUGUGACCUAAAAAUAAUAUGAACCCAAGCUGGAUCUAAAAAUGGUUCAUAUGCAACGUAAUGGGCUAUCUCACAUUCCCAGUUUCUCGACAAAGUCGUUCAAUGGCUCUAAAUUUAUUUUUACUUGGUAACUUUCUCCGAGGAAACUUUCCUGCAUAACGCGUAACAACUAUAUUAGAGAGUCCUAAACACUCGCCUAAGGUUAAUAACUUUGUUUCAGAAUCAGAUCAAAGUUGUGUAAUUGCGGAUUUACUCA